GUGCUCAGCCUUGGGCUUAGGCUUGAAGAAGUCGCCGACACGCGCCGACAGACGGCGGCCAACCCUGGCCUUCUUCUCAUCCUUCUUCUCAUCCUUCUUCUCUUCCUUGGGAGCCUCGGUCUCCGCAGGGGUCUCAGCCGGCGCCUCAGCGCUAGGCGCCUCGGCAGGAGCGGAUGUCUCCGCCUCUUUCACGGGCUCAGCGGGCGCCUCCUCAACCUUGGGAGCCUCAGCAGU
Molecule: unclassified non-coding RNA, 234 nt
Filed under: Hevea brasiliensis (rubber tree)
Lineage: Eukaryota; Viridiplantae; Streptophyta; Magnoliopsida; Malpighiales; Euphorbiaceae
Source: RNAcentral